Molecule: ribosomal RNA, 618 nt
Filed under: Tozzia alpina
Lineage: Eukaryota; Viridiplantae; Streptophyta; Magnoliopsida; Lamiales; Orobanchaceae
Description: eukaryotic LSU rRNA
Rfam family: 5.8S ribosomal RNA (bases 220-375)
Source: RNAcentral
GCAGACCGCGAACAUGUUAAACCACUUGGGAUCGAGGCACGGGGGAAACUUCGUGUCGAGUCCCCAUCUCGUGAGCGUGUGUUCGAUCUCGAACGCUCGUUCCACGGGCUAACGAACCCCGGCGCGGCAUGCGCCAAGGAAUACUCACAGAAGCGUCCGCCUUCAUCGCCCCGUUCUCGGUGUGCGAUGUUGGUUGGUACGUCUCUCCAAAGUCUAAACGACUCUCGGCAACGGAUAUCUCGGCUCUCGCAUCGAUGAAGAACGUAGCGAAAUGCGAUACUUGGUGUGAAUUGCAGAAUCCCGUGAACCAUCGAGUCUUUGAACGCAAGUUGCGCCCGAAACCAUUCGGUUGAGGGCACGUCUGCCUGGGCGUCACGCAUCGCGUCGCCCCAUUCUCCAUCCCGCACGCGGUGAUCGAGUUUUGGGGYGGAUAUUGGCCCCCCGUGUACGUCAGUACGUGGUCGGCCUAAAUGCGAACCCGCGGCGACUCGCGUCACGAACAGUGGUGGUUGAACACUCAACUUUCUUGCUAUCGCGUCGAACGUAGUUGCUUGUCGGGCGUCGUAAUUAACCCAAUGGCUUGAUCUUAUCUAGCUUUCGACCGCGACCCCAGGUCAG